UGUAAUAUAAUACUUAGCUACCUACGUUUCGCUACUUCAUACUGAACUGAACCGGAGCCUGACAAUGCACCACACGACCUUUUUCUGAUUAUGUAAAACGCCAUGAAUAGAAUAGAAUUGAUCACAUAUCACAAGGAAGGAGGAGUGAUAUCGCCAAGAAGAAAUUACUCAAGACGCAAAUAGUAGUUCACGACACGACAAGUUCAUCAGUAUCAUGGAAUUAUCGACAUUGGACUUGAAAUCUCAGUUGAGGUUCCGGUAUUAGAUUGAGGACAGCAGUCAAGUAUCGAUGAACACUGAUUUGAAGAUGCUUGACGUUCUACAGAGGAAGCAAGAAAAUAAUAAUUAGAGAUAUUUACAGAUUAAAACGUAGUAGUUAUGCACUUUUAUUCAAAUUAAUAUUGUUUACUGAUCAGUAAUAAUACAAUAACCCAAGACUUGUAGCAGCUUAUGCUGAACCUCAUCAUGGCUCUUUUGUUUUUUUUUUAUUUAUUUUUCAUUUUCUAAUAUUAAUUUAGUGAACAUAAAAUGCCAGCUACUCGGAUAUGUAGGUGACUUGGGACUGAUUUUUUAAUCGUUG
Molecule: long non-coding RNA, 580 nt
Organism: Ostrinia furnacalis (Asian corn borer)
Lineage: Eukaryota; Metazoa; Arthropoda; Insecta; Lepidoptera; Crambidae
Exons: 3
Source: RefSeq, a predicted model, not a curated record